GGGCGCGUAGCUCAGGGGUAGAGUGCUUGCUUGACAUGCAAGAAGUCAAUGGUUCGAAACCAUUCGUGCCCACCA
This 75-nucleotide transfer RNA is filed under the name bacterium. RNAcentral's name for it is "tRNA-Val". It matches the Rfam family "tRNA". From Rfam's summary of the family: Transfer RNA (tRNA) molecules are approximately 80 nucleotides in length. RNAcentral also lists the same sequence under 1 other name. The record is from RNAcentral.